CCAAUAGCGUAUAUUAAAGUUGCUGCAGUUAAAAAGCUCGUAGUUGAAUUUCGGGACUAAUAUGUCGGUCGUGCCUCGGUACGUACUGGUAUUUUUGGUUUCUCCCUUCUGACGAACCUUGAUGUCAUUAAUUUGGUGUCUUGGGAAAUCAGGACUGUUACUUUGAAAAAAUUAGAGUGUUUAAAGCAGGCUCACGCUUGAAUACAUUAGCAUGGAAUAAUGAAAUAGGACGUUUGAUUCUAUUUUGUUGGUUUCUAGGAUCGACGUAAUGAUUAAUAGGGAUAGUUGGGGGCAUUAGUAUUCAAUUGUCAGAGGUGAAAUUCUUGGAUUUAUUGAAGACUAACUACUGCGAAAGCAUUUGCCGAGGAUGUUUUCAUUAAUCAAGAACGAAAGUUAGGGGAUCGAAGACGAUCAGAUACCGUCGUAGUCUUAACCAUAAACUAUGCCGACUAGGGAUCGGAUGAUGUUAAUUUUUUAAUGACUCAUUCGGCGCCUUACG
RNAcentral lists this ribosomal RNA (499 nucleotides) under uncultured Glomeromycotina. Its description in RNAcentral is "partial small subunit ribosomal RNA". It matches the Rfam family "Eukaryotic small subunit ribosomal RNA", at positions 591 to 1092 of the family's 1831-position model. Lineage: Eukaryota; Fungi; Glomeromycota. The record is from RNAcentral.